Molecule: non-coding RNA, 401 nt
Organism: Paramuricea clavata
Lineage: Eukaryota; Metazoa; Cnidaria; Anthozoa; Malacalcyonacea; Plexauridae
Source: the annotation of a GenBank genome assembly
GCGACAUUUUGCACUGAAUGGAAAUUCGCCAUUAGGCUACGAAGGCCUAUAUACAUUUGAAAUUGGUAAAGUUAUUUUUCCUUAUGUUCCCAAAUAACUAGCAAGUAUUCUAGAGAAUGGAUAAAUUUCCAAAACUUUCUACGAAUUUAUUGUUGCCAAACCAGCGUUUGUGUCUAUGAAUUUGACUCCUUAUUACCGACGCUUUGUAAUGGGAGUCGAGCCCGCAAUCGUUGGCUCAGGAAUCCGGCGCCUAAUCCGUUAGGGGACGAAGGCAUGAGUUGAAAACAGUUAUAGCUCUUCUGCUUAGAAUUCCGAAUAACUGGAAGCAUUAUGUAUUAUUUACCUCUUUACCCUAUUAAAAUGAAUUUAUUUACGUACCUAAGAAAUUUUGUUUAUUUACC